This 478-nucleotide ribosomal RNA is filed under the name uncultured bacterium. RNAcentral's name for it is "bacterial SSU rRNA". It matches the Rfam family "Bacterial small subunit ribosomal RNA", at positions 8 to 469 of the family's 1533-position model. The record is from RNAcentral.
AGAGUUUGAUCCUGGCUCAGGACGAACGCUGGCGGCGUGCUUAACACAUGCAAGUCUACGAGAAAGAGGUAGCAAUAUCUCAAGUAAAGUGGCGCAAGGGUGAGUAAUAUGUAAGUAAUCUACCUAUGGGUUCGGAAUAACGUCGAGAAAUCGGCGCUAAUACCGAAUAAUGCAGCGGCAUCGCAUGAUGAUGUUGUUAAAGUUGUCCCGACUUGUCGGGAUAACUCCUAUAGAUGAGCUUGCAUCUGAUUAGCUAGUUGGUAGGGUAAUUGCCUACCAAGGCUACGAUCAGUAGCUGGUCUGAGAGGAUGAUCAGCCACACUGGAACUGAGACACGGUCCAGACUCCUACGGGAGGCAGCAGUGAGGAAUAUUGGGCAAUGGACGGAAGUCUGACCCAGCAACGCCGCGUGGAGGAUGAAUGCCGUAAGGUUGUAAACUCCUUUUGAAGGGGACGAAUAUUCAAGUUCCGUAAGAAA